RNAcentral lists this ribosomal RNA (253 nucleotides) under uncultured bacterium. RNAcentral's name for it is "partial 16S ribosomal RNA". It matches the Rfam family "Bacterial small subunit ribosomal RNA", at positions 524 to 776 of the family's 1533-position model. The record is from RNAcentral.
UACAGGGGGUGCAAACGUUGCUCGGAAUUACUGGGCGUAAAGCGCACGUAGGCGGCUUUGUAAGUUAGAGGUGAAAGCCCGGAGCUCAACUCCGGAACUGCCUUUAAGACUGCAUCGCUUGAAUCCAGGAGAGGUGAGUGGAAUUCCGAGUGUAGAGGUGAAAUUCGUAGAUAUUCGGAAGAACACCAGUGGCGAAGGCGGCUCACUGGACUGGUAUUGACGCUGAGGUGCGAAAGCGUGGGGAGCAAACAGG